GACGAACGCUGGCGGCGUGCUUAACACAUGCAAGUCGAACGGAAAGGCCCUGCUUUUGUGGGGUGCUCGAGUGGCGAACGGGUGAGUAACACGUGAGUAACCUGCCCUUGACUUUGGGAUAACUUCAGGAAACUGGGGCUAAUACCGGAUAGGAGCUCCUGCUGCAUGGUGGGGGUUGGAAAGUUUCGGCGGUUGGGGAUGGACUCGCGGCUUAUCAGCUUGUUGGUGGGGUAGUGGCUUACCAAGGCUUUGACGGGUAGCCGGCCUGGGAGGGUGACCGGCCACAUUGGGACUGAGAUACGGCCCAGACUCCUACGGGAGGCAGCAGUGGGGAAUAGUGCACAAUGGGCGGAAGCCUGAUGCAGCAACGCCGCGUGCGGGAUGACGGCCUGCGGGUUGUAAACCGCUUUCGCCUGUGACGAAGCGUGAGUGACGGUAAUGGGUAAAGAAGCACCGGCUAACUACGUG
This 468-nucleotide ribosomal RNA is filed under the name uncultured bacterium. Its description in RNAcentral is "partial 16S ribosomal RNA". It matches the Rfam family "Bacterial small subunit ribosomal RNA", at positions 28 to 507 of the family's 1533-position model. The record is from RNAcentral.